Melanotaenia boesemani (Boeseman's rainbowfish) is the source of this 256-nucleotide long non-coding RNA. RefSeq lists it as uncharacterized. The transcript is spliced from 3 exons. Lineage: Eukaryota; Metazoa; Chordata; Actinopteri; Atheriniformes; Melanotaeniidae. The record is from RefSeq and is a predicted model, not a curated record.
UAAAGUCCAACUAGCGGGCAGACAUGGAGGAGACGCAACAAUCACAACCUCAGCUCUCCAUCACAGCACUCCGACUACCUGUUGGUGAUAAGAAACUGAACUGUUGCAGGACUUUGGCUGGACCAAUGUCUGCUGCACCACCAUAUGCUUUACCGGGCGAGCCCUGGUGCGAUGGACUUCAGCCGAAUCUGAGCUAAAAAAGGAGGCAUAACUGGAGAAAACCAGGCAGGAUGAUACCAGUCUGGAUACUUCAAAC